AGGUAUUUACCAGAUCUAAAAG
Molecule: unclassified non-coding RNA, 22 nt
Filed under: Trichinella spiralis
Lineage: Eukaryota; Metazoa; Nematoda; Enoplea; Trichinellida; Trichinellidae
Description: spliced leader TSL-1 RNA
Source: RNAcentral